RNAcentral lists this long non-coding RNA (1876 nucleotides) under Xyrichtys novacula (pearly razorfish). The record is from RNAcentral. Lineage: Eukaryota; Metazoa; Chordata; Actinopteri; Labriformes; Labridae.
AGCAGUUAAUUUAAAAUACUUUAAUUUAGUUCAGAGAGGGUUGGAGUUUUUCUUGUCUGUCCACAUGGCUUAGUGGAUAAGAAACCUGGCUGGGGUUCCUCAGGUCGUGGGUUCAAACCUUGUCCAGGGUGAGGUCAAUUUUAAAAGUCUAGUGUCUAGAAAGGACAGUGAAAUAGGAAACAAACAGAAUCCUCCUCUGUGUCCACAUGGCUCAGAGGAGAACAAGACUUAUUUAAGAACCUUAUCUAGGAGGCCUCGUUGAAUUUUGAAGUCCAGGAGCCGAAGUACGAAGAUAAACGCGCGCGGAGCUAAUGUCCAAGUGUGGAUGGUAUCUCGUAGCGCAGUGCGGUAGUCUACCGGCACCCAAUGUGGGUACCCCGGUUCGAUACCCACUCGGGACAGGAAGUUUAAAGUGAUGAAAUGAUGAUAAUAAGUAGAGAAUACUACUUGUAACAAGUAGAAAAUUCUUCUCUAGCAAGAAGAAGUACUAUUCAUCACUUCUGAUGAUGAUAAACAAUAAUAAUCAUCAUUACGUGUAAUGAUGAUAAUCUGAUCAUCGCUAAUGCUCUCCAGCAACGAGCUGGUAUCAAACCAGCACCCAUUGGGUGCCAGUAGACUACCGUGCGGCGCCAUUAGAUACCAUCCACACUAGGGCAUGAGAUACGCCCGCUUUUAUCUUCGUACUUUAACUCCUAGAUUUUAAAUUCACCUCACCCUGGAUAAGGGUUCGAACCUUCAACCUCAGGAGUCUGUCUUUUUUCCCCUCUGAGCCAAAGAGACAGGUUAAGGUCUAGGUUUACAAAAGGAUCAGACUCCUUUGUUGUCAAAGCUCUGGAAAACACCCCGAAGGAGGCCUCUGACUGUUGUUCAUGUAUCCUCCACAUAUUAUAGGGCAGUAUUUGGAUCUAGGUACUGAACUUAAACAUUUCAAUGGCACAAAACAAAUGAUUUGGAUUAAAGUGGGUGUUUAAAAUAUAAGGAAAGCGGAAGGAGACCACCAUCAGGGACUAGAAUGUUAGAGGCGAGGCGACUCCCUCCCUCCCUGAACUAAUCUGAAGUAUUUUAAAUUAACUGCUGACUAAUGAUACCUAAACGCUUUUAAGUUAAUGAUUUAAGUGUCUCAUAUCUUCACUUUAAUGGUGACUUAAGUCUCUAAACACUCAGUGAAAAGGUGAAAUAAUAAAUUCAGACUCUAAACUUUAUUACCACUUCAACCAGGAACAAAACUCAACAUCAUAAAGCAGAUAAACUUUCGACCCAAGAGGAAGAGGUUUGGGGGGUGGAGGAGGCGCCCCCCGACUCCAGGAUCCGCCGGCGAUGAGUCCUGAAAGAAAAGAAGAAAAACAAUUCAAUCCAACAACAGACAGAAAUCUGUGCUGAGGAUGUCAAACUGGACUGUGGUGAGAGCUCAGAGAAGCUCUCAGGCUACUUCACCAAUCAACAAGUUGUUUUUUUUUUUACCCUGAUGUCUUUUCAAACAGUAACAUUAAUGAGAGGUGUAAUAAAUUUGUGCUUAAGAUCUGUUUGCACUUAUCAGAGAAGCUGGCAGAUGUCUUUGAAAACCUAUGAAUGAAAGAUUGAACCUCCAGCUGUGUUUGGUCAUUUUUUUCACGCCUCAAUAUGGAAUUUUUAACAUACUUUACUAUGACAUUUUUUUUCAUUAUAAAAUUUGUUUUUUUUAAUACAAAAAUAAGAUUUUUUUAUCCCACUUAAAUAUGAAAUUCUAUUAUACUAUACUAUGUAAUUUUUAUCAAACAUCAUUUGACAUUUAUUAUCAUAAGAAAAUAUGAGUGCCUGGGACUUUUAGCUUGUAGCCCUGAUGUUUUGACUUUUACGUUUUCUUUAAGUCGUGCCUCAUAUAUAGCAUAGGAAGUAA